UGCCUAACAGCUAGCCCACCCAAACAAUUUCAACAAACCCCUGUUAAUAACCCCUAAGUACCCCAGUAUUUAUUUUAAACAAACCAUUUUUCCCCCCUAGUAUAGGCGAUAGAAAAGGGCCUACGGCGCAAUAGAGAAAGUACCGCAAGGGAACGCUGAAAGAGAAGUGAAACAACCCAGUAAAGCCUAAAAAAGCAGAGAUCUAAACUCGUACCUUUUGCAUCAUGAUUUAGCAAGUGUAACCCAAGCAAAGCGUACUUUAGUUUGACGUCCCGAAACUAGGUGAGCUACUCCAAGACAGCCUAUCAAUAGGGCGUACCCGUCUCUGUGGCAAAAGAGUGGGGAGAGCUUUGAGUAGAGGUGACAAACCUACCGAACCUAGUUAUAGCUGGUUGUCCAAGAAAUGAAUAGAAGUUCAGCCUUUCAGCUUCUCUUUUCACCUUAGCCUGACCCCUAUUGAUGUAUUAAAGAAACCGAAAGAGUUAGUCAAAGGGGGUACAGCUCCUUUGAAUCAAGACACAACUUUCCCAGGAGGGUAAAGAUCAUAAUAAUUAAAGCUAAAUGUUCUGGUGGGCCUAAAAGCAGCCAUCCCCUUAGAAAGCGUUAAAGCUCAGACAUGUAACCAUACUUCUUAUCCUGAUCACCCAAUCUUAUCCCCCUAACCGUACUGGACCAUCCCAUGCCAACAUGGGAGUGACUAUGCUGAAAUGAGUAAUAAGAGAGCUAUCGGCUCUCUCCCUGCACACAUGUACAUCGGAACGGACAACCCACCGAACCUUAACGGCCCCAAAUAAAGAGGGCAGUGGAUGUUAGACCAAAAAACUAGAAAACUAUCCAAAAACCAACCGUUAAACCCACACAGGUGUGCCCCCAGGGAAAGACUAAA
RNAcentral lists this ribosomal RNA (886 nucleotides) under Hexagrammos agrammus (spotbelly greenling). RNAcentral describes it as "partial 16S rRNA". The stretch from base 191 to 886 matches the Rfam family "Bacterial large subunit ribosomal RNA", at positions 566 to 1685 of the family's 2925-position model. The record is from RNAcentral. Lineage: Eukaryota; Metazoa; Chordata; Actinopteri; Perciformes; Hexagrammidae.